This 388-nucleotide ribosomal RNA is filed under the name uncultured microorganism. RNAcentral's name for it is "bacterial SSU rRNA". It matches the Rfam family "Archaeal small subunit ribosomal RNA", at positions 330 to 725 of the family's 1478-position model. The record is from RNAcentral.
GCGCACCAGGCGAGAAACUUUACAAUGUGCGAAAGCACGAUAAGGGAACUCUGAGUGCCUCCUAAGGAGGCUGUUCUGAUGUCUAAAAGCAACAGAAGUAAGGGCUGGGUAAGACCGGUGCCAGCCGCCGCGGUAACACCGGCAGCCCAAGUGGUAGCCACGUUUAUUGGGUCUAAAGCGUUCGUAGCCGGCCAGGUAAGUUCCUUGGUAAAUUUAGCCGCUUAACGGUUAAGCUUUCAGGGAAUACUGCUUGGCUUGGGACUGGGAGAGGUCAGAGGUACUCCGGGGGUAGGGGUGAAAUCUAUUAAUCCCUGGGGGACCACCGGUAGCGAAGGCGUCUGACCAGACCAGGUCCGACGGUGAGGGACGAAGGCUAGGGGCGCGAACC